UCAUAGUCGUGUCUGUGGGUUGGUCGGCACAGUCAGUGCAGUGUGAACAGCAGGCUUUCGUGAAAACGGUCCGUAUUCAUAAUAAAAUGUUUUGGGCCAGAUAUUCAAGUUAAGUGCAGGAGCAGUGAACAUGCGGAAGAUGACGCGCACCUUCAUCCACAGUGGGUCAGUAUGAUCCUACGUUAUCUAUUACUAGGACAAGAGAGUUAUGGAGGUGGUGAAGGAGGACAUGAAGUUUGCAGGUUUGAGAGAAGAGGAAGCAGAGGACUGGGUGAGAUGGAGGAAGAUGAUCUGCUGUGGCGACCCCUGAAGGGAGAAGCCGGUUACUAAAAGUCAAAUAAUGCAAAGCUAUAUUUGAUGACUCACUCAAGCAAUAUUAAAUGUGGGGUAUGAUAUUACUAAUUCGUAUUGUAAUCACAAUUGUAUACCAUAUAAUGUUUAUGAAAAGACCAAUUGUAUAUUACUGUAGAAGUUAAUUUUGUCCUCUGGGAGUUUCCAUAGUUGAUAGGAGCUGUGUUGUGUGUGACCGCCCGAGUUUUGUGGCGUGGUAGCUUAAUAGUGACUGAGACCAAAGGCACUAAUAAACCUGUCAUGUUGCUGCACCCACCAGUUUGAAGAGUUCUCCACCAUGAAGAUGUAGAGGGAUGUAGAUAGAUCAGGAAUAAAGAGACUUGGAGCCCAAUAGAGAGGUCUUGCAAUGGUCCAGAACAGUCAAGGUGGAAGAGGCUGACUACCUGUGGCAAUGCCUGAUGGGAAAGAAGAACCAGAUGUUGCUAUUGUUCAGACUAAUGGAAAGUUACAGGUGAUAGCUGCCUAAUUGUUUUUGGUUGUAACAUUUCUCCUUGUUUUCAGAACUCUGAGUGCAGACUGAGUUUUUCACUGAUGCUCAAGGUUGUUGCUACAUUCUUGCUUGUUAUCUUCAAUGUUGUCGUCUACUUCUCCCGCCCAGUGAUUAAAGUGUAUGCUCGCUGAGAAUUCCUCAGUGAGAGUGUCAACUUCAUACUGUGGACUUGAACUCUCACUCUCUUUGCAAAGAUUCUUCAAUCAAUAUUGGUAAAAGACAAUUCCCUCUUUAAGGUCUUUAUUGUAGUCAGAAAAAUAAACCACAGAGGGGGAUGAAAAGAUUGGAUUUCACUUGGUAACAAUUUUAAAGUUGUGUCCCUUUUGUCUCUUAAUGCAGUUGUAUUGCAGAGAACUGUCAGUCUCUUCAAUUCAAACUGUAAAGAAAAUACAUUUUGCACC
Long non-coding RNA from Synchiropus splendidus (mandarinfish), 1242 nucleotides. RefSeq lists it as uncharacterized. NCBI's taxonomy places the organism in Eukaryota, Metazoa, Chordata, Actinopteri, Syngnathiformes, Callionymidae. The transcript has 3 exons. The record is from RefSeq and is a predicted model, not a curated record.